This 107-nucleotide small nuclear RNA is filed under the name Myotis davidii. The record is from RNAcentral. Lineage: Eukaryota; Metazoa; Chordata; Mammalia; Chiroptera; Vespertilionidae.
AUGCUCACUUCGGUAGCACAUAUACUAAAAUGGAAACAAUACAGAGAAGAUUAGCAUGGCCCCUGUGCAAGGAUGACAUGCAAAUUUGUGACACGUUCCAUAUUCUC